CCAGGUAUGCAUCAUGAUUACUCUUUCAUCGUGUUGCCAGCGUUAAGAAUACAGCCUUAUAAAUAGGAAAAUGCACACUGGAGUGUAUAGUGUAUUUCUGUCUGCACUCGCAUCCACUUGUUCAGCUAGAAAGGAAACCACGCUGAGACUGUGUCAAAGAUGAACACGAACGGUCAGAUGUCGUUAUUCUGGAUUUUAUCCCUCGUCUUGGUCAGCGUUCAGUCCAGACAUCCUCGAGACGUGACACUGCGCCCGCUAGACAUCGCGAGGAACAGAGAACUGUUUUUGAGUGCCCUUCAGUCUUACUUCAGUACUAGAGGUAUUCACAUUGAUCAGACGGCCCCUGCAUUCAUCAUGUUUUCAACUAAAAAGCAAAACACCGAGAGCAUGGAAGUGGAAGGACUGAAUAUCACUGGAGACGGAAUGGAUUUAUUGAAAUAAGGGGGUCAAGUCACCCCAAGUGACCAAUAGGGUCUGUCACUUGAUAGAAGGAAUGCAGAUGGAGCCCAAGUUGUGAAUAGAAGCCUGUGAUCUGUGUAAUGAUAAUGGAAUUAAAGAGGACAUAAUCAAGCUUUAAAAAAUGUUUUCAUUUUUUUUAUUUUUAAGAGUUCAUUUUUAAUGCAUAUCACAAUUUUUGGUCAACACUUCAUGUGCACACUUUACUUUCUCUGCUCCUACACCUCACAUUCUAUGCCAGUGUCAGAGAAUAUAUGUUGCCCCCCCCCCCC
Long non-coding RNA from Acipenser ruthenus (sterlet), 728 nucleotides. RefSeq lists it as uncharacterized. Lineage: Eukaryota; Metazoa; Chordata; Actinopteri; Acipenseriformes; Acipenseridae. The transcript is spliced from 4 exons. The record is from RefSeq and is a predicted model, not a curated record.